Molecule: ribosomal RNA, 624 nt
Filed under: Phialophora verrucosa
Lineage: Eukaryota; Fungi; Ascomycota; Eurotiomycetes; Chaetothyriales; Herpotrichiellaceae
Description: LSU rRNA
Rfam family: Eukaryotic large subunit ribosomal RNA
Source: RNAcentral
UUUGCAUAUCCAAAAAGCGGAGGAAAAGAAACCAACAGGGAUUGCCUCAGUAACGGCGAGUGAAGCGGCAACAGCUCAAAUUUGAAAUCUGGCCUCUCGGGGUCCGAGUUGUAAUUUGUAGAGGAUGUUUUGGGUACCGCCCCGGUUUAAAUUUCUUGGAACAGAAUGUCAGAGAGGGUGAGAAUCCCGUCUUGGACCGGCGGUAGGGCCUGUGUAAAACUCCUUCGACGAGUCGAGUUGUUUGGGAAUGCAGCUCAAAAUGGGUGGUAAAUUUCAUCUAAAGCUAAAUAUUGGCCAGAGACCGAUAGCGCACAAGUAGAGUGAUCGAAAGAUGAAAAGAACUUUGAAAAGAGAGUUAAACAGUAUGUGAAAUUGUUGAAAGGGAAGCGCUUGCAACCAGACUUGAGCGCGACGGUUCCCCUAGCCUUUUGGCUAGGUUACUCUGUCGUGUCCAGGCCAACAUCGGUUCUGAGGGUCGGUCAAAGGCCCCGGGAAUGUACCUACCCACGGGUAGACUUAUAGACCGGGGUGUCAUGCGGCCUCUCGGGACCGAGGAACGCGCUUCGGCUCGGAUGUUGGCGUAAUGGUUGUCAGCGACCCGUCUUGAGCCCACCGGACCAAAAA